RNAcentral lists this ribosomal RNA (253 nucleotides) under uncultured bacterium. Its description in RNAcentral is "partial 16S ribosomal RNA". It matches the Rfam family "Bacterial small subunit ribosomal RNA", at positions 524 to 776 of the family's 1533-position model. The record is from RNAcentral.
UACAGAGGGGGCAAGCGUUAUUCGGAAUUAUUGGGCGUAAAGGGCUCGUAGGCGGCCAACUAAGUCAGACGUGAAAUCCCUCGGCUUAACCGGGGAACUGCGUCUGAUACUGGAUGGCUUGAGUGUGGGAGAGGGAUGCGGAAUUCCAGGUGUAGCGGUGAAAUGCGUAGAUAUCUGGAGGAACACCGGUGGCGAAGGCGGCAUCCUGGACCAUUACUGACGCUGAUGAGCGAAAGCCAGGGGAGCAAACGGG